AAUAUGUAACAAUACCCCCCCCAAGACAAUCUUCUUGUCCCCAAGAAGAUUUGAAGUCAGGAAAUUGGCUUUGGAUAAAAGACUGAUCUUCCCAUGUAGCUUCCUCCUCAGGCAAAUGAAGCCAUUUAAUGAGGCCUUGAAGGACCUGCUGCUGUUGCCUAGUUACAGUUCUUGUCUUCAACACCCUCUCAGGAGCUACCACAAUCAUGUCAUCCUGAAAAGUGGGAAGAUUUUGGACUACAAGAGUACCUUCACCUACUUUUCUCUUUAAGAGUGACACGUGAAAAACAGGAUGAAUGGAUGCUGUGGGAGGUAACUUCAAUUUAUAAGCAACAGAACCCACUUUAGCCUCUACCUGGAAUGGACCAUAGAACCUUGCUGCUAGCUUGAAAUUCUUUCUUAGAGCCACUGAUGUUUGUCUGUAGGGCUGCAACUUAAGGUAAACCCAGUCCCCCACUUCAAAAGUCCUCUCAGACCUCUUUUUCUCAGCAUACUGUUUCAUCCUAUUCUGAGCCAUUAAUAGAUUGUCCCUAAUUAGCUGAGACAUGUGCUGCCUACCCUUCACAAAGUCAACAACAGACCUACGAUAGUAUCAUCCAAAGGCAGAAAUGUCAAGGAGGUGGUUUGUAACCAUAGAGAGUCUCAAAUGGAGUCAUUUUCAAGGAAGAAUGAUGGCUAGUAUUAUACCACCACUCGACCAAUGGUAACUACUUGGCCAAAGAAUGUGGUUGUUGAUAACAAAGACACCUCAAGUGCCCCUUUAGGCUUUGGUUUAGCCUUUCAGAUUGACCAUCUGAUUGGGGAUGGUAUGCUGAAGUAUAAGCCAAUUUGGUUCCCAACAACCUGAAUAGUUCUUUCCAAAAAGAACUAGUAAAAAUCUUAUCUCUAUCAGAGAUAAUAGUAAUAGGGCAGCCAUGUAAUUUGAAGACAAAAAUCCAAGAAUAAUUUGGCAACAUCAGAAGCAGAAAAAGGAUGCUGAAGUGGCACAAAGUGAGCAUACUUAAUAAAUUUGCAAAUGACCACAAGAAUGGUGUCUUUGCCUUUGGACUUUGGCAAUUGCUCUACAAAGUCCAUAGUGAUAUGCUGCCAAGCUUGAUGAGGAACAGGCAAGGGCUGUAACAGCCCAGGGGUGGCACAAGUCUCAACCUUACACCUGGCACAAACAUCACAACUUCUUACCCACUCAACUACUGCCUUAAGCAUCCCAGGCCAAAAGAAAUGCCUGCUAAGUCUCACUGAAGUGGCAUUAAUUCCUAAGUGUCCUCCCAACUGUGAGUUGUGAUAGAGAGCCAAUAAAUGCUCCCUCAAACGCCCUGUUCUAACCCACAUAAAGUCUGUCUUUGUAAAACAACAAUCCAUCUUUCAAAGAGUACCCAGGAUGUGCAUUUGCAUCAAUAGAAAGGUGAGAAAUUAAGUCAUUAGCUUGCUUAUCAGUAGCAUAGCUAUGAAUUAAGUGUGACAUUGAAGUAGGUUGCAGGGAAGAAGAAUGCAAGGCCAGUAAAGUAGCUUCCAAGGGUGCAGGUUUCUUAGACAGGGCAUCUGCCACCUUAUUAUCCACCCCUCUUCUGUAUAGGAUUCUGUAUUGCAGACCCAGCAAUUUAGAAACCCCUCGAAGUUGCAAGUUAGUAUGCAACCUCUGCUCUAACAAAUGUUUGAUACUUUCAUGAUCAGUCUUUAUGAAAAAGGGUCCCUGUUCCAAGUAAUGUCUCCAUUUUGACACAGCAAAUGUUAUAGCCAAUAAUUCCCUUUCAUAAACUGAUAAAGACCUUGUCCUAGGACCAAAUGCCUUAGAAAUAAAGGCAAGUGGAUGCCCAUCCUGCUGCAACAUAGCUCCCAUACCCAUACAACUAGCAUCAGUCUCCACUAUGAAAGGUUUUGUAAAAUUUGGCAAGGCUAACACAGGAGCUUGGGACAUAGCAGCCCUAAGUUGCUCAAAGGCCUGUUGUGCUUUCUCAUCCCAUUGAAAUGCAUCUUUUUUGAGUAAAUCAGUAAGGGGCUUGCUAAUUAUUCCAUAAUGAGGAACAAAUUUCCUAUAGUAGCCAGUUAAUCCCAAGAAACUCCUGAGUUCUUUAACUGAUUUGGGAGUAGGCCAAGAUAUCAUGGCUUGUAUCUUAGUAGGAUCAGUUGCUACACCUUUGCCAGAAAUAAUGUGUCCCAAAUAAUCAAUCUCAUGCUGCCCAAAAGAACACUUGCUAAGCUUAGCAUACAGCUGCUGUUGUUGCAGGAUUUUAAACACUGCUUCUAAGUGCUGCAAAUGCUCUUUCCAUGAAGAACUAUAUAUCAAAAUGUCAUCAAA
Molecule: unclassified non-coding RNA, 2296 nt
Filed under: Hevea brasiliensis (rubber tree)
Lineage: Eukaryota; Viridiplantae; Streptophyta; Magnoliopsida; Malpighiales; Euphorbiaceae
Source: RNAcentral